RNAcentral lists this long non-coding RNA (297 nucleotides) under Chinchilla lanigera (long-tailed chinchilla). RNAcentral's name for it is "lncRNA (ENSCLAG00000027093.1)". Lineage: Eukaryota; Metazoa; Chordata; Mammalia; Rodentia; Chinchillidae. The record is from RNAcentral.
CAGAGACCUGCACUUGAAGCUGAUUCUGUUUUGUUCAAAUGAAACCCAGAUUCCAGAUACACCCUCUACUGCACAGAGUUUUCUCCUCUGUGCUCAUCAUUACUUCCAGGACCUGGAGACAUCAUGCUAAACAGCACCACGUAUUGAAGUACUGCACAGCCCUAACAUUGGGAAUGAGGACUCUGGAGGACACGUACUUGAGACCACGGAGAAGAGAGUGUCCAGCGAGCAGGCCUUGCCAGCAGGAGGUAACUAACGGCAGGUGGGCUGUGGAGCAGAGCUGAGCGGAAGCCAAGA